RNAcentral lists this ribosomal RNA (484 nucleotides) under uncultured bacterium. RNAcentral describes it as "partial 16S ribosomal RNA". It matches the Rfam family "Bacterial small subunit ribosomal RNA", at positions 30 to 507 of the family's 1533-position model. The record is from RNAcentral.
AUUGAACGCUGGCGGCAUGCUUUACACAUGCAAGUCGAACGGCAGCGCGGGCUUCGGCCUGGCGGCGAGUGGCGAACGGGUGAGUAAUACAUCGGAACCUGCCCAGUAGUGGGGGAUAGCCUGGCGAAAGCCGGAUUAAUACCGCAUACUACCUGAGGGUGAAAUCCGGGGAUCUUCGGACCUAGCGCUAUUGGAUCGGCCGAUUGCAGAUUAGCUAGUUGGUGGGGUAAAGGCCUACCAAGGCGACGAUCUGUAGCUGGUCUGAGAGGACGACCAGCCACACUGGGACUGAGACAGGGCCCAGACUCCUACGGGAGGCAGCAGUGGGGAAUUUCGGACAGUGUGCGAAAGCCUGCUCCAGCAAUGCCGCGUGUGUGAUGAAGUCCUUCGGUUUGUAAAGCACUUUUGGCGGGAAAGAAAAGGACUGUGCCAAUACCACGGUUCGAUGGCGGUACCCGCAGAAUAAGCACCGGCUAACUACGUG